RNAcentral lists this ribosomal RNA (305 nucleotides) under uncultured bacterium. RNAcentral's name for it is "partial 16S ribosomal RNA". It matches the Rfam family "Bacterial small subunit ribosomal RNA", at positions 508 to 807 of the family's 1533-position model. The record is from RNAcentral.
ACAGCAGCCGCCGCGGUAAUACGUAGGGUGCAAGCGUUAAUCGGAAUUACUGGGCGUAAAGCGUGCGCAGGCGGUUCGUUAAGACAGAUGUGAAAUCCCCGGGCUUAACCUGGGAACUGCAUUUGUGACUGGCGGGCUAGAGUAUGGCAGAGGGGGGUAGAAUUCCACGUGUAGCAGUGAAAUGCGUAGAGACGUGGAGGAAUACCGAUGGCGAAGGCAGCCCCCUGGGCCAAUACUGACGCUCAUGCACGAAAGCGUGGGGAGCAAACAGGAUUAGAUACCCCUGUAGUCCCUGUCUCUUAUAC